CUAACAAGGAUUCCCCUAGUAACUGCGAGUGAAGCGGGAAGAGCUCAAAUUUGUAAUCUGGCGGCCUUAGGCCGUCCGAGUUGUAAGCUCGAGAAGCGUCUUCUGUGCCGGACCGUGUACAAGUCCCUUGGAACAGGGCGUCAUAGAGGGUGAGAAUCCCGUCUCUGACACGGACUGCCGGUGCUAUGUGAUGCGCUCUCAAAGAGUCGAGUUGUUUGGGAAUGCAGCUCAAAAUGGGUGGUAAAUUCCAUCUAAAGCUAAAUACAGGCGAAAGACCGAUAGCGAACAAGUACCGUGAGGGAAAGAUGAAAAGCACUUUGGAAAGAGAGUUAAAGAGUACGUGAAAUUGUUGAAAGGGAAACGCUUUCAGUCGCGCGUCUCACGGGAUUCAGCCUUUGCCAUCCCGGCUAGGUGUAUUUCCCGGGCUAGACGGGCCAGCAUGAAUUCAGAUCGCCAGAGAACGGCCUUGGGAAUGUGGCACCUCCGCGGUGUGUUAUAGCCCUUGGGUCAUAUGUGGCGGUCUGGAUUGAGGACUGCAGCACGCCUUUAUUGGCCGGGGUUCGCCCACGUAACGUGCUUAGGAUGCUGGCGUAAUGGCUUCAAACGA
This 607-nucleotide ribosomal RNA is filed under the name Phaeoclavulina cyanocephala. Its description in RNAcentral is "eukaryotic LSU rRNA". It matches the Rfam family "Eukaryotic large subunit ribosomal RNA", at positions 65 to 647 of the family's 3401-position model. The record is from RNAcentral. Lineage: Eukaryota; Fungi; Basidiomycota; Agaricomycetes; Gomphales; Gomphaceae.